GACGAACGCUGGCGGCGUGCUUAACACAUGCAAGUCGAACGGAAAGGCCCUGCUUUUGUGGGGUGCUCGAGUGGCGAACGGGUGAGUAACACGUGAGUAACCUGCCCUUGACUUUGGGAUAACUUCAGGAAACUGGGGCUAAUACCGGAUAGGAGCUCCUGCUGCAUGGUGGGGGUUGGAAAGUUUCGGCGGUUGGGGAUGGACUCGCGGCUUAUCAGCUUGUUGGUGGGGUAGUGGCUUACCAAGGCUUUGACGGGUAGCCGGCCUGAGAGGGUGACCGGACAAAUUGGGACUGAGAUACGGCCCAGACUCCUACGGGAGGCAGCAGUGGGGAAUAUUGCACAAUGGGCGGAAGCCUGAUGCAGCAACGCCGCGUGCGGGAUGACGGCCUUCGGGUUGUAAACCGCUUUCGCCUGUGACGAAGCGUGAGUGACGGUAAUGGGUAAAGAAGCACCGGCUAACUACGUG
RNAcentral lists this ribosomal RNA (468 nucleotides) under uncultured bacterium. Its description in RNAcentral is "partial 16S ribosomal RNA". It matches the Rfam family "Bacterial small subunit ribosomal RNA", at positions 28 to 507 of the family's 1533-position model. The record is from RNAcentral.